RNAcentral lists this ribosomal RNA (500 nucleotides) under uncultured Glomeromycotina. Its description in RNAcentral is "partial small subunit ribosomal RNA". It matches the Rfam family "Eukaryotic small subunit ribosomal RNA", at positions 591 to 1092 of the family's 1831-position model. The record is from RNAcentral. Lineage: Eukaryota; Fungi; Glomeromycota.
CCAAUAGCGUAUAUUAAAGUUGUUGCAGUUAAAAAGCUCGUAGUUGAAUUUCGGGAUCAGCAGGUUGGUCGUGCCUCUGGUAUGCACUGGUUUCGCUGAUUCCUCCUUUCUGAAGAACUGUAAUGUCAUUAAUUUGGUGUUGCAGGGAAACAGGACUGUUACUUUGAAAAAAUUAGAGUGUUUAAAGCAGGCUAAGGCUUGAAUACAUUAGCAUGGAAUAAUGAAAUAGGACGUUUGAUCCUAUUUUGUUGGUUUCUAGGAUUGACGUAAUGAUUAAUAGGGAUAGUUGGGGGCAUUAGUAUUCAAUUGUCAGAGGUGAAAUUCUUGGAUUUAUUGAAGACUAACUACUGCGAAAGCAUUUGCCAAGGAUGUUUUCAUUAAUCAAGAACGAAAGUUAGGGGAUCGAAGACGAUCAGAUACCGUCGUAGUCUUAACCAUAAACUAUGCCGACUAGGGAUCGGAUGAUGUUAAUUUUUUAAUGACUCAUUCGGCGCCUUACG